GAACUCCUGACCUCAGGUGAUCCACCCACCUUGGCCUCCCAAAAAGUGCCGGCAUUACAGGCUUGAGCCACCAUGCCCAGACUGCUUUAGAAUUGCAUUUAUACUGUGUAUUUUUUUACCCUAAUGACAGUGUAAGAGACUUAAAUGAAUAUGACUGUCACACAAAAAAGGUGUGUCCUACUUCAACACUCAACAUUCAAGAAAUAUUUGUCAAAGACCUGCUGUAAGCCAGGUGGUUGCUGUAUAUGGAACUUUAUCUGAUUUGCUUUCUGUGGCCAGCAGUAAACUCGGCAUAAAAGCCACCAGUGUGUAUAAUGGGAAAGGUGGACUGAU
This 333-nucleotide non-coding RNA is filed under the name Pan troglodytes (chimpanzee). Lineage: Eukaryota; Metazoa; Chordata; Mammalia; Primates; Hominidae. RNAcentral also lists the same sequence under 1 other name. The record is from RNAcentral.